Molecule: long non-coding RNA, 716 nt
Organism: Mytilus californianus (California mussel)
Lineage: Eukaryota; Metazoa; Mollusca; Bivalvia; Mytilida; Mytilidae
Exons: 3
Source: RefSeq, a predicted model, not a curated record
UUCCGGUCUGUAAAUUGUCGUUAACAUUGUUCUAAUUGAAACAAUUGCAUAUGGUUUUUAUAACAUAUACAUUGGUGCAAAAUGCAUACAAUAUUAACUGUUUUGUGUCUCAUGAAUUUAAGGAUUAUAUGUGCAUUUGAUCAUGACGAAACCCGUCAUUAUUUUGGACAAAACAGGGCUGUUCAACAUAUAUGGACAACAACUACUAUUGGGAAACAACAAACAUGUAAAUAUCAUAGAUAUUCAACACAUUCUUCAUUAGGACCAAUGCCAGACACAUGGUAUGCCGAUUCCAUGUGCUUUGUGACUUUCCAGUCAUAUAACCAAUACGGUUGUCUGUUAAUAGAUGCCGGUAAACCAGCUACAAUUACUUGCCCAUCUGAUACAGUACUCAUUAUUUACAACGUACUGUACGAAUAUAAUGGUAGAUGUCAAAAUGACAAAAGUUAUUAUUCUAAAAGAAAUUACUACAAACAUUGUAAAAAUGCGUUCGCAUGCAACAUUCCCACCAAACCAGUUUAUAAGCAGAAAGCAAGCAUCUAUUUUCAUUGCAGAGGUGUGUAUAUAAUAAAAACGAUAUAUAAGUAGAAGACCUUCUAUGUAGCUAAAUAUUAUCUAAAAAUCAAGUACCUCUGGAAUUCGUAUUAAACAUUUGACGUAGAUUUGAAAUAACACUUUACAAAGUGUGUACAUCCGAAGCGCUUUUCAUGAUUUAC